AAAUAAAUUAUUCCUCUGACCAAAAGUGUUUUUUUUAAUAAGACAUUCUCCAAAUUCUGAACAAAAUAUUAAAGACUUUCUAGAGUCUUGUUCCUAGACACCCUUCCUGCCUUAUCUCUUAUGUCCCAUCAUUAUACAUGCUGUUCUCCACAUACAUUAUUUUUGCAUUAUUCUUUGCUAUUCCCAAGCUUAAAAUGCCCUCUCAUUACUGCCUUCUCGAAUUCUAUUCAGAGCACCAUUCAAAUGCUUUCUUAAAUGUGGAGCUUUCCCAAACCCUGAAAUAAAUGUACAUGGUGUCUCUUCAAUGUCUCAAAUGCUUGAUUAGGUGGACACAGAUAAUUGGUUUAUUAACUAUUUACAAAAUGUACAUAUAAGCUGUAUGUACUUUUCUAAAUAUGAAUUAUAUCUAACAAUAAGAAGUAUUUAAAUAAAAUAGUUAUACUUUUGCAACCUAAUCAAGCCCCGUAUUACCCUGACCUACCUUACCCAGUAAACUCUUUGAAGGCCCAUUGUGGUAGUCUUUACUUCCCUCAAUAUGCCAUACAUAUAAGCAUUGAAUAAUUUCUCUGAUAAAUACUCUCAUUAUGGGAGUUGACUCAUAUGAAGACCACCUCCCACUAAAGUAUACAGAACAACAUACACACAAAUGAGUUCAUGUAUAAUUGGUGAACUCUGAACAAGCUCUGUGGAUUGUACCCAUCCCCAUUUUCUCACGGUUAUUGUACUAUAGUUAUGCAAGAUGUCCAACAGUGGGGGAGGAGGGGAAGGGUACACAGUGGAGGGUGCUGCGACCUCCCUUUACAUCACCUUGCAACUUCCUGUAAGUCUAAUUACUUCAAAAUAAAAAGGUUUUCUAAUGAAGGUGUAGAGAAAUGGAUGUACUUGCUAGUAGUAAAACAGUACAAUAUGCUAACAGUAUGCAGUAUGUCAUGAAAGAUUCUAAGGAUGUUAUAUCGUUUAAUCUAAUAAACCUACUUCUACGAAUUUAUCCUCAGUGUUUACCUGGACACAGUGCCCCAAAGAUAGGUGCAGGUAGUCCAUCACAGCACUGUUUAUAUGUGUCUAUAACAGAAAACAAACUCUCCAGUAGUAGGAGAGUAGCCCAAUAAAUGAGGCUAUAUCUAAAAAGUAAAAUACUAUGCAAAUCUUCCAACUGACAAUAUGAGAAAGUUGUUACAUGGUUUAAGAAUUAUUUCAAAAUAAGUAUAGCAUCUGAUUUUUAAAGAUGUACAGUACAGGCAUUUCUGUGUUAUAGAUGCACAGAAAAGUGCCUAGGUCAAUGCCAAAUUUUAGGAAGUACCUCGGGUUGGUGAAAUUAAGGGUUUGUUUUCGUUUUAAGAGAUGGGGUCUCCUUUUUUAGUGCCAUCUGCUUGCGGUGCCACCUCCUGCUCCUCCUACUGCAGCUGCCACCCUGAGUCACUGCCCGCACAGCUCUAGCCACCUGGCUCCCCAUACUAGCCACCAACAUUUGGAGUUCUUACAACAUGGCAGACACUGACAACCUGCCUACGGUAGUUAAAAGACGAGUGAAUGCUCUCAACAACCUGCAAGUUAAAUGUGCACAGACAGAAGCCAAAUUCUAGGAGGAAGUUCAAGAUCUUGAAAGGAAGUAUGCUGUUCUAUAUCAGCCUUUAUUUGAUAAGCAAUUUGAGAUUAUUAAUGCAAUUUAUGAACCUAUGGAAGAAAAAUGUGAACAGAAACCAGAUGACGAUGAGAUUUUGGAGGAGUUGAAAGAAAAGGCCAAGAUUAAAGAUGAGAAAAAGGAUGAAGAAAAAGAAGACCCUAAAGGAAUUCCUGAAUUUUGGUUAACUGUUUUUAAGAAUGUUGACUUGCUCAGUGAUAUGGUUCAGGAACAUGAUGAACCUAUUCUGAAGCACUUGAAAGAUAUUAAAGUGAAAGUCUCCGAAGCUGGCCAGCCUAUGAGUUUUCUUAGAAUUUCAUUUUGAGCCCAAUGAAUAUUUUACAAAUGAAGUACUGACAAAGACAUAUAGUAUGAGGUCAGAGCAGAUGAUUCUCAUCCCUUUUCUUUUGAUAGACCAGAAAUUAUGGGCUGUGCAGGGUUCCAGAUAGAUUGGUAAAAAGGAAAGAAUGUCACUUUGAAAACCAUUAAGCAGCAGCAGAAACACAAGGGACAUGGGACAGUUCAUACUGUGAUUAAAACAGUUUCCAAUGACGCUUUAAUUUUUUUUUUCCUCCUGAAGUUCCUGAGAAUGGAGAUCUGGAUGAUGAUGCUGAAGCUAUCUUUGCUGCAGUCUUUGAAAUUGGUCACUUUUUACAUGAGCAUAUAAUCCCAAGAUCAGUGUUAUACUUUACUAGAGAAGCUAUUGAAGAUGAUGAUGAUGAUGAUGAUGAUGAUGAAGGUGAUGAAGGUGAAGAAGCAGAUGAGAAAGGGGAAGAAGGAGAUGAGGAAAAUGAUCCAGACUCUGACCCAAAGGAUCAAAAUGCAGCAAAAUGCAAACAGCAGUGAAGCAAGAAGUAUGUGGCCUUGAGGAUAACCUGCACUGUCAUAGCCUAAACACAACUCUUAUUUACUUACAGCCUUUUGUAUUUUCUUGGUAGAGAGGGUAAUUUUAUUUUAAAGACAAGAAACUGAUAUUUUAAAGACCAAUUUGUUCUAAUUAGCAUUUUAACUAGUUUUUCUGCCAAAUAUGUUGAAUGCACAAAUUCUGUAACACGUUUCAUUCAUCGCUGCAUAAUUUGGUUCUUCUGGAAUAUUUUUAUGUAGCUCUUGGAGUACAGCUAUGAAAAUGUCAAGUGUUAAAAGGAAACCUUUUUUUUUUUUUUUUUUUCAUAAUUUUUUCCCUGAAGAACGAAAGUAUUUUUUCAACUGGUUGUUGAAUAUGGUUAAGUCCACUUGGAUUAGCUGUGCCUUUCAUUACUCUGUUACAGAAACACAGUGACUUAUAUAAGACAAUUCAUCGUUUUAAAUAAACAACUGGUAAGACAACUGUAUGGUUAAGAAUUUCCAGUAUGACCACACCCAAUAAGUAUAUUUAAUGGAGUAUUGUGUUAAAAGUGACAUAGUUAACUAUAAAGUAACCUGACUCAGUAUAGUUACUGGUACCACAGUGAGGUGAAUAAAACAGGAUUUUCAGAAGUUAGCCUGAAUUUAACUGUACUUUUAAAUUUAACCUCCAUUAAACUAAGCAUCUUUUCUUUGUGGCAAUGUCUACCUUCUGCUUUCCUGAAAAGGAAGAAUUUAUAUCAUUUGACAAGCCUAUUCAUUGUUUGCUUGUUUUUGGUUUUGCAGCCUAAAAUAAAAAUUUCAAAUACAAUUUUAGUUCUUACAAGAUAUAGUGUCUUAAUUUUGUACCAAUUCAGGUAGAAGCAGAGGCCUAGCUUGAAUUAAGGGUUAUACUCAGUUUUUACCAUAUUAUUGAAGAAAAGGGUACCAGCUUUGGAAAGAGAUACUAUACUAAUAAGCAAAUGU
Molecule: RNA transcript, 3430 nt
Organism: Cebus imitator (Panamanian white-faced capuchin)
Lineage: Eukaryota; Metazoa; Chordata; Mammalia; Primates; Cebidae
Gene name: nucleosome assembly protein 1-like 1
Exons: 2
Source: RefSeq, a predicted model, not a curated record